Molecule: ribosomal RNA, 254 nt
Filed under: uncultured bacterium
Lineage: Bacteria
Description: partial 16S ribosomal RNA
Rfam family: Bacterial small subunit ribosomal RNA
Source: RNAcentral
CACGUAGGGUGCGAGCGUUGUCCGGAAUUAUUGGGCGUAAAGAGCUCGUAGGCGGUGUGUCGCGUCGGCCGUGAAAACCUGCAGCUUAACUGUGGGCUUGCGGUCGAUACGGGCAUCACUGGAGUUCGGCAGGGGAGACUGGAAUUCCUGGUGUAGCGGUGAAAUGCGCAGAUAUCAGGAAGAACACCGAUGGCGAAGGCAGCUCUCUGGGACGGUACUGACGCUGAGACGCGAAAGCGUGGGGAGCGAACAGG